Non-coding RNA from Salmo salar (Atlantic salmon), 58 nucleotides. The record is from Rfam. NCBI's taxonomy places the organism in Eukaryota, Metazoa, Chordata, Actinopteri, Salmoniformes, Salmonidae.
UGGCUCAGUUGGUAGAGCAUGGUGUUUGCAACGCCAGGGUUGUGGGGUCGAUUCCCAC